CCAUCAACAAAAUAUUCUAAGUCCAAAUUCCAUCCCACUUUCCAUCAAAGAAAAUGUUUAAGUCCAAUUUCCAUCAAACUUCUUUCAUUUUCAUCCUAUUUACCAUCAUGGAAUAAGUGCCAUCAUAUUUUGCAUCAGGGGGUAAAAAUGCCAUCCAAUUUUCCAUCAGAGGGUAAAAAUGCCAUCCAAUUUUCCAUCAGGGG
Molecule: long non-coding RNA, 203 nt
Filed under: Mytilus galloprovincialis (Mediterranean mussel)
Lineage: Eukaryota; Metazoa; Mollusca; Bivalvia; Mytilida; Mytilidae
Source: RNAcentral